Molecule: ribosomal RNA, 450 nt
Filed under: uncultured bacterium
Lineage: Bacteria
Description: bacterial SSU rRNA
Rfam family: Bacterial small subunit ribosomal RNA
Source: RNAcentral
AACGAACGCUGGCGGCAGGCCUAACACAUGCAAGUCGAACGCCGUAGCAAUACGGAGUGGCAGACGGGUGAGUAACACGUGGGAACGUACCCUUCGGUUCGGGAUAACUCAGGGAAACUUGAGCUAAUACCGGAUACGUCCGAGAGGAGAAAGAUUUAUCGCCGAGGGAUCGGCCCGCGUCUGAUUAGCUUGUUGGUGAGGUAACGGCUCACCAAGGCGACGAUCAGUAGCUGGCUGAGAGGAUGAUCAGCCACAUUGGGACUGAGACACGGCCCAAACUCCUACGGGAGGCAGCAGUGGGGAAUAUUGGACAAUGGGCGCAAGCCUGAUCCAGCCAUGCCGCGUGAGUGAUGAAGGCCCUAGGGUUGUAAAGCUCUUUUGUGCGGGGAAGAUAAUGACGGUACCGCAAGAAUAAGCCCCGGCUAACUUCGUGCCAGCAGCCGCAGUAAU